UUGUAUUACUUGUUCUUAUUUCAUCUUGUUGUAUCAUACAGAAAUCUAAUUAAUUUAAGGAAAGAAACUCAAUCCAGAUUGAACACAGUUCUGAAAUCUCAAGCCAUUCAAUUGAUCAUAUUCAUACCUAAAGUACAUGAAAGAAGCAGCCAAACCCAAAUUAUUUUUGAUAUACGCAGAGAAGCCAAACCUAAAUCGGAAAAAUCCCUCACAAUCAACCAGUCUCUAGCUAGCACUGCUCCUCAGCUAAGGACCCAUUACCAACAUUCUUUGUCUGCAAACCAGAUUUAAUGUUGGUAUUGCUAGGCUUAUACCACAAAGCACAAAUAAGAAAACCACAAAAUUCAUAACUCCAAGUAUGGCAAGAAGGCCAUAGAAGCAAUCAAGCCUCCCAGAGUUUAUCUUAUCAGCUAACCAUCCCUGGCCACCGUCGCUUCCUGUCACCCUCUUCACAACCAUGACCAAGAAGCUACUAACGAAGAAACCAAGUGACAGAGUUGUCAGGAAGAGACCGGUACUGACAGUUUUCAUUCCUUUGGGAGAUUGGGUUAUGAAGAAAUCGAGCUGCCCAGUGUAUAUGAAAGCUUCACCUGAACCCACCAAGAAAAAUUGUGGUAUCAGUAAGAACACGCUCAAGGGCAGAGUUGAAGUGUUGCCACCCUCAGCUUUGGCUACUGAUAAACGUUUUCUCUCGACUAAUGCUGCUGCUGCCAUUCCUAAAGUUGACAAAACUAGGCCAAUGCCUAUUCUCUGCAGAUUACUGAAACCUGGUUUUCCUUUCCAUUUCUUCCAAAAAGGCAUGAUCAAACGAUCAUAGACUGCCAGUGUAACUAAAAUAGCAGCCACAAAGAAGACCGUGAGAGAGCCAGCCGGAAUUUGAAAACUUCCAAUUGAUCUUUCCAUAGUGGAUGCUUGCUCAACUGAGAAUGUGAUCAUCUGGGCAUAUGUGGUCCAGAAAAUGAUGGUUGUGGCCCAGAUUGGCAAUAUUCUCACCAUCAUUUUCACUUCCUCCACCCUCGUCACCGAGCAUAGCUUCCAUGAAUUUGGAGCAGAACCACUAUUUUCGAAAUCUCCAUCUGCAACUAUGGCCGCCUUAUCCAAGAAGUGGAAUUGAUCGGUAUGCUGGAUUCUUGAGGCCUCUGGGGUGUUCUCAUAGAGUGAGCUAAUAUUGUAAGGGAGGUUCAUCUUCCUCUUUCUUGUGGCAGCUACAAUAACCUGGAAAAUGUGCACUAUGGGGCUUCCCAAGCUCUUCUUGUACCUAUAUCUUUUAUUCCCAGAAAAGAAUAUGAAGACGGCUAUAAACAUAGCCACAGUACAAAUCCCAUAAGCCCAGCUGCGACCAACUUCAUCUUCUAUAUAAACAAGCACUGUAACAGCCAACAAUGUUCCCAUGCUAAUGAAGAAGAAGAACCUGUGGAAGAAAUAGUCCAUCUGGGCUUUCUCCUUUUCGUCUUUCUCAUCGAAUUGGUCGGUUCCAAAUCCUGAAACACUUGAUUUUAGGCCUCCAGUUCCUAGUGCAAUUAGAUAUAAAGCCAUGUAUAAAAUUCCCAUUUGGAAUCCAUUUGCUUGUACGCAUGAAUGGUUGGUGUGACAAGGAGGUGGACGCAGCUGGGGUAGCUUAGUUACGAUAGCUAGCAUUCCAGUACCCAGUGCUUGUAUAACGGCAAAUAUUGCAAUAGUUUUGUAUCUGCCUAGGAAAGAAUCAGCAAGAAAUCCUCCAAGCAAACACAAGAGAAAAGAAGCGCCCAUAAAGUCUGUCACCAUAUUGGCUGAAGUUGCACUACCCAGAUGCAGCGUUCCAAUCAAAUAUGUGACCAGGUUAACUGCUAUUCCCAUUGUUGAAAGCCUCUCGCAUACUUCGAUCCCUAGAACAAGUGCAGCAGGGAUCCAUCCACCAGUUUUAGAUCUGUCCGCAGGCAAACCAUUGUAGUCCACGGCAUCAGCAACAGUCCAACUCAUCUUCCCAUCCAUGAUUCAACUUUGAAUGGAAAAGGAAAGAAAGAAAGAAA
Molecule: unclassified non-coding RNA, 2009 nt
Filed under: Hevea brasiliensis (rubber tree)
Lineage: Eukaryota; Viridiplantae; Streptophyta; Magnoliopsida; Malpighiales; Euphorbiaceae
Source: RNAcentral